CCUACGGGAGGCAGCAGUGGGGAAUAUUGGGCAAUGGGCGCAAGCCUGACCCAGCAACGCCGCGUGAAGGAAGAAGGCUUUCGGGUUGUAAACUUCUUUUCUGAGGGACGAAGAAAGUGACGGUACCUCAGGUAUAAGCCACGGCUAACUACGUGCCAGCAGCCGCGGUAAUACGUAGGUGGCAAGCGUUAUCCGGAUUUUUUGGGUGUAAAGGGCGUGUAGGGGGGAAAGCAAGGUAGAUGUGAAAACUCAGGGCUCAACCCUGAGCCUGGAUUUGAAACUGUUUUUCUUGAGUGCUGGAGAGGCAAUCGGAAUUCCGUGUGUAGCGGUGAAAUGCGUAGAUAUACGGAGGAACACCAGUGGCGAAGGCGGAUUGCUGGAGAGUAACUGACGCUGAGGCGCGAAAGCGUGGGGAGCAAACAGGAUUAGAUACCCCUGUAGUC
RNAcentral lists this ribosomal RNA (443 nucleotides) under uncultured bacterium. RNAcentral describes it as "partial 16S ribosomal RNA". It matches the Rfam family "Bacterial small subunit ribosomal RNA", at positions 338 to 795 of the family's 1533-position model. The record is from RNAcentral.